GAUCAUGGCUCAGGACGAACGCUGGCGGCGUGCCUAACACAUGCAAGUCGAACGAGGUCCAUCCUUCGGGAGAAGACCUAGUGGCGAACGGGUGAGUAACACGUGAGGAACCUGCCCCGAAGACCGGGAUAACCCUCCGAAAGGAGAGCUAAUACCGGAUACCCCCACCGAACCGCAUGGUUUGGUGAGGAAAUGGAUUCCGCUUCGGGAGGGCCUCGCGGCCUAUCAGCUAGUUGGUGGGGUAACGGCCCACCAAGGCAUCGACGGGUAGCUGGUCUGAGAGGACGAUCAGCCACACUGGGACUGAGACACGGCCCAGACUCCUACGGGAGGCAGCAGUGGGGAAUCUUGCGCAAUGGGCGAAAGCCUGACGCAGCAACGCCGCGUGGGGAUGAAGGCUCUCGGGUUGUAAACCCCUUUCAGCAGGGACGAAUCAAGACGGUACUUGCAGAAGAAGCCCCGGCUAACUACGUG
This 474-nucleotide ribosomal RNA is filed under the name uncultured bacterium. RNAcentral's name for it is "bacterial SSU rRNA". It matches the Rfam family "Bacterial small subunit ribosomal RNA", at positions 15 to 507 of the family's 1533-position model. The record is from RNAcentral.